RNAcentral lists this ribosomal RNA (463 nucleotides) under uncultured bacterium. Its description in RNAcentral is "partial 16S ribosomal RNA". It matches the Rfam family "Bacterial small subunit ribosomal RNA", at positions 339 to 795 of the family's 1533-position model. The record is from RNAcentral.
CUACGGGUGGCAGCAGUGGGGAAUAUUGCACAAUGGGCGCAAGCCUGAUGCAGCCAUGCCGCGUGUAUGAAGAAGGCCUUCGGGUUGUAAAGUACUUUCAGCGGGGAGGAAGGGAGUAAAGUUAAUACCUUUGCUCAUUGACGUUACCCGCAGAAGAAGCACCGGCUAACUCCGUGCCAGCAGCCGCGGUAAUACGGAGGGUGCAAGCGGUAAUCGGAAUUACUGGGCGUAAAGCGCACGCAGGCGGUUUGUUAAGUCAGAUGUGAAAUCCCCGGGCUCAACCUGGGAACUGCAUCUGAUACUGGCAAGCUUGAGUCUCGUAGAGGGGGGUAGAAUUCCAGGUGUAGCGGUGUAAUGCGUAGAGAUCUGGAGGAAUACCGGUGGCGAAGGCGGCCCCCUGGACGAAGACUGACGCUCAGGUGCGAAAGCGUGGGGAGCAAACAGGAUUAGAUACCCUAUAGUC